UGUGCCAGCAGCCGCGGUAAUACGGAGGAUGCGAGCGUUAUCCGGAUUUAUUGGGUUUAAGGGGUGCGUAGGCGGGCUGUUAAGUCAGCGGUCAAAUGUCGGGGCUCAACCCCGGCCUGCCGUUGAAACUGGUGGCCUCGAGUGGGCGAGAAGUAUGCGGAAUGCGUGGUGUAGCGGUGAAAUGCAUAGAUAUCACGCAGAACUCCGAUUGCGAAGGCAGCAUACCGGCGCCCGACUGACGCUGAGGCACGAAAGCGUGGGUAUCGAACAGG
RNAcentral lists this ribosomal RNA (272 nucleotides) under uncultured bacterium. RNAcentral describes it as "partial 16S ribosomal RNA". It matches the Rfam family "Bacterial small subunit ribosomal RNA", at positions 504 to 776 of the family's 1533-position model. The record is from RNAcentral.